GAACGCACAUUGCGCCCUUCGGUAUUCCGUUGGGCAUGCCUGUUCGUGCGUCAUUUAAUCAUUCAAGCUCUGCUUGGUGUUGGGUGUUUGUUCCGCCUCAGCGCGUGGACUCGCCUUAAAUUCAUUGGCAGCCGGUAUGUUGGCUUCGUGCGCAGCACAUUGCGUCGCGAUUCUGGCAGGCCUCCUCCCAUUAAGCUUCUUUUAAGUUUGACCUCGGAUCAGGUAGGGAUACCCGCUGAACUUA
This 244-nucleotide unclassified non-coding RNA is filed under the name Pleotrichocladium opacum. Its description in RNAcentral is "sequence contains 5.8S rRNA gene". Lineage: Eukaryota; Fungi; Ascomycota; Dothideomycetes; Pleosporales; Melanommataceae. The record is from RNAcentral.